Molecule: unclassified non-coding RNA, 336 nt
Filed under: soil metagenome
Description: partial contains 5.8S ribosomal RNA, internal transcribed spacer 2, and large subunit ribosomal RNA
Rfam family: 5.8S ribosomal RNA (bases 1-120)
Source: RNAcentral
GAUGAAGAACGUAGUGAAAUGCGAUAAGUAAUGUGAAUUGCAGAAUUCAGUGAAUCAUCGAAUCUUUGAACGCACAUUGCGCCCGCCAGUAUUCUGGCGGGCAUGCCUGUUCGAGCGUCAUUUCAACCAUCAAGCCCCCGGCUUGUGUUGGGGACCUGCGGCUGCCGCAGGCCCUGAAAAGCAGUGGCGGGCUCGCUGUCACACCGAGCGUAGUAGCAUACAUCUCGCUCUGGGCGUGCUGCGGGUUCCGGCCGUUAAACCACCUUCAUAACCCAAGGUUGACCUCGGAUCAGGUAGGAAGAACCGCUGAACUUAAGCAUAUCAAUAAGCGGAGGA